GAGUAACACGUGUGCAACAACCCCGUACCGGGAGAUAACCCGCGGAAACGUGGACUAACAUCCCAUAACACUGGAGGAUCGCAUGAUCUUUCAUUUAAAAUUCCGGUGGUACGGGACGGGCACGCGCGACAUUAGGUAGUUGGCGGGGUAACGGCCCACCAAGCCGACGAUGUCUAGGGGUUCUGAGAGGAAGGUCCCCCACACUGGAACUGAGACACGGUCCAGACUCCUACGGGAGGCAGCAGUGAGGAAUAUUGGUCAAUGGGCGAGAGCCUGAACCAGCCAAGUCGCGUGAGGGAAGAAUGGUCUAUGGCCUGUAAACCUCUUUUGCCAGGGAAGAAUAAAAGGUACGUGUACCUUCUUGCCAGUACCUGACGAAUAAGCAUCGGCUAACUCCGUG
This 400-nucleotide ribosomal RNA is filed under the name uncultured bacterium. RNAcentral describes it as "bacterial SSU rRNA". It matches the Rfam family "Bacterial small subunit ribosomal RNA", at positions 108 to 507 of the family's 1533-position model. The record is from RNAcentral.